Molecule: ribosomal RNA, 396 nt
Filed under: uncultured Alphaproteobacteria bacterium
Lineage: Bacteria; Pseudomonadati; Pseudomonadota; Alphaproteobacteria
Description: bacterial SSU rRNA
Rfam family: Bacterial small subunit ribosomal RNA
Source: RNAcentral
AGCGAACGCUGGCGGCAUGCCUAACACAUGCAAGUCGAACGAGACCGUCGGGUCUAGUGGCGCACGGGUGCGUAACGCGUGGGAAUCUGCCCUUGGGUUCGGAAUACUCAGAGAAAUUUGAGCUAAUACCGGAUGAUGACGUAAGUCCAAAGAUUUAUCGCCCAAGGAUGAGCCCGCGUAAGAUUAGCUUGUUGGUAGGGUAACGGCCUACCAAGGCGACGAUCUUUAGCUGGUCUGAGAGGAUGAUCAGCCACACUGGGACUGAGACACGGCCCAGACUCCUACGGGAGGCAGCAGUGGGGAAUAUUGGACAAUGGGCGAAAGCCUGAUCCAGCAAUGCCGCGUGAGUGAUGAAGGCCUUAGGGUUGUAAAGCUCUUUUACCAGGGAUGAUAAUG